UGUGAGGGUGAUCUGGCUGCGACAUCUGUCACCCCAUUGAUCGCCAGGGUUGAUUCGGCUGAUCUGGCUGGCUAGGCGGGUGUCCCCUUCCUCCCUCACCGCUCCAUGUGCGUCCCUCCCGAAGCUGCGCGCUCGGUGGAAGAGGACGACCAUCCCAGAUAGAAGGAGUGUACUACUACUACUGCUAAUAAUAAUAAUAAUAAUAAUAAUAAUAAUAAUAAUACCACAUCCAUCUGACUUGGUCACCCCAGCCACUCUGGGU
This is a non-coding RNA of Podarcis lilfordi (Lilford's wall lizard), 262 nucleotides long. Lineage: Eukaryota; Metazoa; Chordata; Lepidosauria; Squamata; Lacertidae. The record is from the annotation of a GenBank genome assembly.